This 242-nucleotide unclassified non-coding RNA is filed under the name Hevea brasiliensis (rubber tree). Lineage: Eukaryota; Viridiplantae; Streptophyta; Magnoliopsida; Malpighiales; Euphorbiaceae. The record is from RNAcentral.
GCCGCAACCAAGCUGGCAUUCCUUAGAGGUGGCGGAGGAGGACCUGUUAUCUGAGAUACCUUUUCUUCGAAUUUUGUACCAGAUGUUUGUAAAAUAGCAUGAUUGUUUGUAUCGUGACACCGAAUGGCUGCUAAUGUUAUUCUCCAAAUAGCUUCCGUUCAACUUAGCGGGACCCCAUCUCAAGCUGGUUUUUGUGUUAAAAUGUUUGUAAAUGCCCGCUAUUAUGUCAUAGACAAAACUGU